Long non-coding RNA from Hemicordylus capensis (graceful crag lizard), 1376 nucleotides. RefSeq lists it as uncharacterized. The record is from RefSeq and is a predicted model, not a curated record. Lineage: Eukaryota; Metazoa; Chordata; Lepidosauria; Squamata; Cordylidae. The transcript is spliced from 3 exons.
GGCAAAGACAGCAGCUGGCUCUCGCGCACGCGAUUUGUUUUGCAAUUGCAAGGCCAGCGCACCUGAUAAGAGGCGCGCGCCGGUUCCCUCCCUUACAGUGCCCGGCGGGAGUCAAAGGACAAGGUUCUUCUGGGUGGGACGCGGUUACAUAAACAGUCACGACCGCUCCAAAUCUCUCUUCAUAAGGAGCAGCGUCUGCAUCGUUUGGAGGGCCUCUCUUAAAGAAGGAAGAAUAGCGAGGAUGCACAAUGGACUUGCGUUCACCCCUUGUUAGGCUUAUAGCAUUGCAGCGUUAAGAUCACAGCGGCUCUCCAUGUCGGGCUGCCGUCUGUUAAUAGAGAAAGCCUCUGUGCCUUUAAAGGGGCAGCUGCUAAGUCAAGGCUGCAGGCCAGGGCAGGGUUGCUGCAAAGCUUUUAGUGUGACCAUCUCGCCUCGCCCUAGUCACCGCCUCCUGUCCCGCUCGGCCCCAAUCUCCCCCCCCCCCCCCCGAGGCCCUGCUGCAGCGGGAGUUGUAGUGCAACAGUAUUUGGGGGGCCGAGGUUUGAGAGCCCCAAGCCGGACUCGGAGGGACAGAGGUUGCUGCUGCUUUCACUCAUUCACGUUCCCUCAGGUUGAGCGAGCUUUAUUAGGUCUGUUUCUCCGCGCUUUCUCUUGCUCAUUCGUCCUGGACAUUUUCACUGGGCCUUUCUGUCCUAUUUUCCCGGCUGCCUUGUCCCAAGAGAAAGGAAAGGAAAGCACCACCAUCUCAUUCAUGCAUGGAGACCCCAUCAGCUCUGCCUGUCUCACUGACCUGCUUGUGAUAAAGGAGACACCCAGCAUGAGGAGAAGAUGGUGACUUUAUCUUUGAGAUGCUAAUUAUUCCUUCUGGAUGGACCCUUUGGUAGACAAAGGUUAUGCAGCUGCUCAGACUCUUGACAGGAAAAAAGGUUUCACCUUGACAGAAUAGAAAUGGAUAAACGAGUCCUGAAGUACUUCUAAUAAGCCGUAUUAAAGAACUUAAGACAAUGUUACUCUCUCACCUAGUGAAGCACUCUUCCAGUGAGGGGAUGGAGAACCAGAAUAUUAUACUACUUCUUUAGCAGUUCAAGGUUUGGCUGAUAAUGAUGCUUAAAAUUCCAUGCACUUCCAAGUGCCAUUAGUUGAGGUAACCCAUUUCUCCCUAUUGGAGGUUUAAAAGUCUGAUCUGAUUCAUAGAGAUGUAAUGUCAUUUUAGGUUUGACCACAGUUGUAGCAAGGUAACAUAAGCACAAUAAUAAGCAAACACAGCAAAAGAAUACUGGCAUUAUGACUAAUUGGAUUUUUUUUAUUUUUUACAUGUUACUGUUGCAUAACAUAUAUUGUAUAAAGUAUUUUAGUCUUUUAAAAAUGUGUUAGGU